UGAAUGAGAGUUCCUGUUGCUUCACAUCCUUGCCAGCAUUUGGUGUUGUCACCGUUCUGGAUCUUAACUAUUCUAAUAGACCUUUGAUAAACCUUUCCCAGCACAGCAAACCCAUGGUUAACGCCACAGCAGUGAGGAAGCUACGGGAGCAGAACUGCAAUUAACCUUCAUGGGCAAAACAAAACAUAAAAAACCACGAGAAGCUGCACUUUGAAUUUAGAGGCUGCUCUGAAGGUCGAACCCUCAAGAGAAUCAAGGCAAUGUUGUAUGUGGGGUAUGGUUAAAACCUGGGCCAAGGCCAAGAAAUUCUGACGCAGCGAAUCUGAGUGUCUGCC
Molecule: long non-coding RNA, 335 nt
Organism: Ailuropoda melanoleuca (giant panda)
Lineage: Eukaryota; Metazoa; Chordata; Mammalia; Carnivora; Ursidae
Exons: 3
Source: RefSeq, a predicted model, not a curated record